Molecule: long non-coding RNA, 773 nt
Filed under: Mus pahari (shrew mouse)
Lineage: Eukaryota; Metazoa; Chordata; Mammalia; Rodentia; Muridae
Description: predicted gene 29348 (MGP_PahariEiJ_G0006032.1)
Source: RNAcentral
CACGUGGGGUGUUACCCAGGGUCACCUAGCAGCAAAUGCCCAGGCUGCUUCCACGACUGAUAUUAUGAAGCUUACAGCGGAGUGACUUGCCAUCAGGAAGGCUCCUGUCUGCCAAGACACCAGCACGCCCUGCCACCAGCAAUAAUUGCCAACAAGAAUAGCAGACCGUGUAAGAUAAGAAAGAUUGUAAGCUGUUCAGCCAACUAGAAUCGUCUGUGCUAAUGACUGGCAGGCAUCACAGGUUCCUUAUUUCAUAGGACAAACAUCAGAAGCACCAUCUCAGAUGUGCUUGCCAUGAGGAUAAAAUGAGAUGCCGUGUGAAGAUGACACAAGGUGUCUAAGCUCUGGGAAGGUUCUGUGAAAUCCAUGUAGGGACAGGGAAGCUGUCAGAGGGAAUUUGGGGCUAAUACUAGCCAGAAGCCAUACAGUUUAAAAGGAUGCUCUGACAGGCAGCUGACGAUGAGCAGCUUUGCAUGGGGAAGUUAGUUAAGAGGGCUUGUGGAGUCAUAUUUUUUUGAUCUGUGGAGGGAUGGGUAUGUAUAUGUGAGAGCAAGCAUGUGUGUGCUGCAGGAUGCUAAGGGCAGAGGACAGCCUCAGGUGUCAACAUUCUCUUUUCACCAUUUCUGAGACAGGGUCUCUGUUAUUUGCUAGCUCAAGCACCAGGGUAACUGUGAGCUAUGGGGAAUUGUCUCAUCUCCACUUCCCAUCCAUCUCUCCACAGAAACACUGAGAGUGCAGAGGUGUGUACUAUCAAAUGGGGCUCACAACGGAUU